RNAcentral lists this ribosomal RNA (465 nucleotides) under Vreelandella stevensii. RNAcentral's name for it is "partial 16S ribosomal RNA". It matches the Rfam family "Bacterial small subunit ribosomal RNA", at positions 338 to 795 of the family's 1533-position model. The record is from RNAcentral. Lineage: Bacteria; Pseudomonadati; Pseudomonadota; Gammaproteobacteria; Oceanospirillales; Halomonadaceae.
CCUACGGGCGGCAGCAGUGGGGAAUAUUGGACAAUGGGCGAAAGCCUGAUCCAGCCAUGCCGCGUGUGUGAAGAAGGCCUUCGGGUUGUAAAGCACUUUCAGUGGGGAAGAAAGCCUUGGGGCUAAUACCCUCGAGGAAGGACAUCACCCACAGAAGAAGCACCGGCUAACUCCGUGCCAGCAGCCGCGGUAAUACGGAGGGUGCGAGCGUUAAUCGGAAUUACUGGGCGUAAAGCGCGCGUAGGCGGUCUGAUAAGCCGGUUGUGAAAGCCCCGGGCUCAACCUGGGAACGGCAUCCGGAACUGUCAGGCUAGAGUGCAGGAGAGGAAGGUAGAAUUCCUGGUGUAGCGGUGAAAUGCGUAGAGAUCGGGAGGAAUACCAGUGGCGAAGGCGGCCUUCUGGACUGACACUGACGCUGAGGUGCGAAAGCGUGGGUAGCAAACAGGAUUAGAUACCCUAGUAGUC